RNAcentral lists this long non-coding RNA (337 nucleotides) under Junco hyemalis (dark-eyed junco). RNAcentral describes it as "lncRNA (ENSJHYG00000006164.1)". Lineage: Eukaryota; Metazoa; Chordata; Aves; Passeriformes; Passerellidae. The record is from RNAcentral.
CUCCAGCUGAAAGUUCAUUUUUUGCCCAUGACACCAAAUGUUAUUUGCUGCGGUGCACCCCAGCUGUGUAGGAUGUUUUGCUCCAAAGGGAGAAGUUCUCAGUGAGACACAUGGCACUGAACAAGAAGGAAAUCUUUGUUGCUGAAAAGGCUUUGGCACAUGGCACACAAUUUCUUUCCAAGGAUUUGGUACACUGUGUGGACUUUAUUCUUUGUGGGCUUUAUUGUUUGUGGCAAGAAGACAAUUUUUCAAGCCCUUGUUCCUUCACACCAAAGCCCUGAUUUCACAAAAGCUUCUGGACUCACUCAGGUUUUUAAACCAGCUGACCUGGACCAGC